This 395-nucleotide ribosomal RNA is filed under the name uncultured bacterium. Its description in RNAcentral is "bacterial SSU rRNA". It matches the Rfam family "Bacterial small subunit ribosomal RNA", at positions 505 to 898 of the family's 1533-position model. The record is from RNAcentral.
GUGCCAGCAGCCGCGGUAAGACGUAGGAUGCAAGCGUUGUCCGGAUUUAUUGGGCGUAAAGAGUUCGUAGGCGGUUCGUUAAGUCUGAUGUUAAAGACUGGGGCUCAACCCCGGGAGUGCAUUGGAUACUGGCGGACUGGAGUGUGGUAGAGGCUAGUGGAAUUCCCAGUGUAGCGGUGAAAUGCGUAGAUAUUGGGAAGAACACCAGUGGCGUAGGCGACUAGCUGGGCCAUAACUGACGCUGAGGAACGAAAGCCAGGGGAGCGAAUGGGAUUAGAUACCCCAGUAGUCCUGGCCGUAAACGAUGGAUACUAGGCGUAGUGGGUAUCGACCCCUACUGUGCCGCAGCUAACGCGAUAAGUAUCCCGCCUGAGUAGUACGGCCGCAAGGUUGAA